Molecule: long non-coding RNA, 741 nt
Filed under: Sinocyclocheilus grahami
Lineage: Eukaryota; Metazoa; Chordata; Actinopteri; Cypriniformes; Cyprinidae
Description: lncRNA (ENSSGRG00000020078.1)
Source: RNAcentral
CGUUCUCGUACAGGAUCUCCAUCGUAUCGAAAGGCUGUAGAAGACCUACAACUGGUAUUUCCAGAGGGUGUGUGCUGCAAUGAAACUUCAGUUAUGAGACAUGAGCAGAUAUCCUGCUUGCAUUCAGAUCCUGAAGCUAGUUUGGAUCGUGAACAGCUGCACACCCUUAGAACCGUAUACAAAGACCAAUUUUGUUCAGGAUUCAGUCAAGGCAAGGCAUUCUUCCACUUCCUCACCCCUCUAUCAACACAGCACAAAACUGAACCAAUGACACAAACAUAAACAGUCAUGUUGAUGUUUUACUAGCUGCGAUUGACCUUUGUAAGGAGGAUGGGAACCGUUGUUAUUUAUUUGUGAUUUGGUGCAAGUAGGGCCUUUGGUCUGCAGUGCUCUUUGUCAGACCACCUGCCUGCUGAUACCUUCCAACCUCCUGCAGCAGAAUCAGCCUCCUCUCUACUCAGAGCUACUGCAGAGGUUGCUUAGGACAGGCUGCCACCUAGUGGCUGGAAGGCUCUGCACACCAGAUGAGAAACAAAAGCAGCGCAUAUGCAAGUUACUGAGGUCCUCUGCUGGUGAAGCACUUCUAUGUGAGGGCCCCUGCCUUAUCAUUGCUUUGCAAGCAGACAAUGCCAUCACAUGUUUCGAUAUCAUUCUCAAGAGCAUUUGCAGAGAGAGACCUGACUUUAAGAGAGUUACAAUGAAACUUCUUUACCCAAACUCUGAAAGUGGGGUGAGUACAAU